UUUGAUUUAUAUAUAAAGUCUGACCUGCCCACUGAAAAUUUUAAAUGGCUGCAGUAAUUUGACUGUACAAAGGUAGCAUAAUCAUUAGUUUUUUAAUUAAAAGCUUGUAUGAAAGGUUGGACGAAGUAAAAUCUGUCUCUUUUUAAUAUAAUUAGAAUUUAAUUUUUAAGUAAAAAAGCUUAAAUUUUUAUAAAAGACGAGAAGACCCUAUAGAGUUUAAUAAUUUUAAUAAAAUAUUUAAUUAAGAUUUAUUAAUUUUAUUUAAUUAAAAUUAUUUUAUUGGGGUAAUAAAAAGAUUAAAAAAAUUCUUUUUUUUUAAUACAUUAAUUUAUGAAUAUAUGAUCCAUUUGUAGUGAUUAAAAGAUUAAAUUACCUUAGGGAUAACAGCGUAAUUUUUUUAAAGAGUUCUUAUCGAUAAAAAAGUUUGCGACCUCGAUGUUGGAUUAAAGAUUAAUUUAGGUGUAGAAGUUUAAAUUUUUGGUCUGUUCGACCAUUAAAUCUUUACAUGAUCUGAGUUCAAACCGGUGUAAGCCAGGUUGGUUUCUAUCUUUAUUAAUUUUUUAUAUUUUAGUACGAAAGGACCAAAUAUAAAAUAUAUAAAUAUUUUUAUUUUGAAUAUUAUUAAAUUAGUUAUUUUGGCAGAUUAGUGUAAUGAAUUUAGAAUUCAUUUAUGUAAAUAUUUUACAAAUAAUACUUGUUUAUAAAAGAUAUAAUUAUUUCUUUUAUUUUAAUUAUUUUAUUAAUUAUUUGUGUUUUAGUAGGUGUAGCUUUUUUAACUUUAUUAGAACGAAAAGUUUU
Molecule: ribosomal RNA, 798 nt
Filed under: Trechisibus antarcticus
Lineage: Eukaryota; Metazoa; Arthropoda; Insecta; Coleoptera; Carabidae
Description: partial 16S ribosomal RNA
Rfam family: Bacterial large subunit ribosomal RNA (bases 1-574)
Source: RNAcentral